ACCUCUGACUUUUUUAUGUGGUCGAGGAGAACUUAAUUCAUCCAAAAUCAUAACUGAUUCAUCGUCACUAUUUUCAUCCAAAAUCUUAACUGGUUCAUCAUCAUCACUAUCACCAACAUUGUCAUUUUUAUCAUCAUCAUCAUCAUGAGUGUCAGAUGAAGGAUCAUAGUCUAUUUCUACUGCACUUUGGCCAAGUAUGAGUACAUCGAACUUGGAAGUUCCUUCUUUAUAUUUAAACACAACCAAACUGCCAUGUCCUAGAGAGUAAUUUUGAGUAAAAGAUUUCCAACCCUUUUCAAACCAAAUCUCACCAUUGAUAUUUUUCCAAUAAACUUUCCAUUUAGUGCCAUCAGGAGGAUUGAUCAACACUGGAUUUGAUAAACCAACUCCAUGACUCUUUGUAAACUUAUUUGGUAUUUUCUGUGAAAUUAAAACAACCCCUUUUGGUCACUACGUACUACUCAUCUAAUCUAAGUAGAGAGAAAAAAUUUAUAUUAUUAAUUAUAAUCCUAACUAAGUAACUAAUCAUAAUCAACUUCUAACUAUAUAUAUAAUCAAAUUUCUAGUGCUUAUGUAUGUGACUGUAAGCGUAAUUAAUUGCAAUUUAAUAGAUAAACAAACAAAAAAAAAGUGAUAAUAAAGUAGUAAAUAAUAGAAAUGCUUACAAGUCUUUGAAGAUUAGUUUGGAGGAUGAUCUUGAAGAAAUGGAUUGAGUGCUUGGUAGAAUUUGUUCUAGCCAUGGAGAGUGAGUGAAUAAAGUAUAUUGUGUAUAGUUUGAUGUACUGUAUAUAUAAGAUGAGAAACCAAAGGUCUUCAUUUAUUAAUUGUUGUGCUAGUAAUUAAGCUAACUGCCUCUUGUCAUUAUCAUUAUUACAAAUAAGAGUAAUGUUACGUGGUGAGUAACGCUAUCUCCCAAGAAAAAUUAAGCUAACUAUUUCUUUAUAUUUUAAUCUUCACAUUUAUCUUGGGAGAUAAAAGGUCAAGAAUUAAAUAUAUUGUUGAAAAUUGAAGAAUAUUUUUACACAUAUAUAUGGAGAGUAAUGCUAUCUCCCAAGAAAAAAUAGUUGUUUCUUAUAAUCUAAUUAAAAUAUAUUAAAGAAGUGUUAAUUAUUUCUUGGGUAAAUAGUGUUAUACCCCAGCAAAAUAGGCGAGUUUUGCGUUACCCCUACACAAUAUUUUUUUGAGAUUCCCUCCUGCAAUGUCAAGAUUUCUCCCCUGCAAAAUAUUUUUUUGAGAUUCCCCCUGCAAUGUCAAGAUUACUUGUGUUACACCCCCGGCUCAACAAGUGGGCAUAUGACAUGGACGAAUCUUGACGUGGCAUGACACGUGGAAAUUAAUUAAUUAAUUUAUUUUUAAAUGCCAACUCAGUAAUUAUUUAUUUUUUUAAUUAAAAAAAUGAAGAAAAAAAAAACCCACAUUAAUAUAUUGUGUAUAGUUUGAUGUACUGUAUAUAUAAGAUGAGAAACCAAAGGUCUUCAUUUAUUAAUUGUUGUGCUAGUAAUUAAGCUAACUGCCUCUUG
Molecule: long non-coding RNA, 1520 nt
Filed under: Trifolium pratense (red clover)
Lineage: Eukaryota; Viridiplantae; Streptophyta; Magnoliopsida; Fabales; Fabaceae
Description: long non-coding RNA (TPRA_LNC002871)
Source: RNAcentral